GACGAACGCUGGCGGCGUGCUUAACACAUGCAAGUCGAGCGGUAAGGCCCUUUCGGGGGUACACGAGCGGCGAACGGGUGAGUAACACGUGGGUGACCUGCCCUCAGCUCUGGGGAUAAGCCCUGGGAAACCGGGUCUAAUACUGGAUAUGACUCCAUGACGCAUGUUGUGGGGUGGAAAGCCUUGUGCGGCUGAGGAUGGGCCCGCGGCCUAUCAGCUUGUUGGUGGGGUGANGGCCUACCAAGGCGACGACGGGUAGCCGGCCUGAGAGGGCGACCGGCCACACUGGGACUGAGACACGGCCCAGACUCCUACGGGAGGCAGCAGUGGGGAAUCUUGCGCAAUGGGCGAAAGCCUGACGCAGCGACGCCGCGUGAGGGAUGACGGCCU
Molecule: ribosomal RNA, 390 nt
Filed under: uncultured bacterium
Lineage: Bacteria
Description: bacterial SSU rRNA
Rfam family: Bacterial small subunit ribosomal RNA
Source: RNAcentral